AACGAACGCUGGCGGCAUGCCUAACACAUGCAAGUCGAACGAGACCUUCGGGUCUAGUGGCGCACGGGUGCGUAACGCGUGGGAACCUGCCCGUAGGUUAGGAAUAACUCCCCGAAGGGGGUGCUAAUACCGGAUAAUGUCUUCGGACCAAAGAGUUAUCGCCUUUGGAUGGGCCCUCGUUGGAUUAGCUAGUUGGUAGGGUAAAAGCCUGCCAAGGCGACGAUCCAUAGCUGGUCUGAUAGGAUGAUCAGCCACACUGGGACUGAGACACGGCCCAGACUCCUACGGGAGGCAGCAGUGGGGAAUAUUGGACAAUGGGCGAAAGCCUGAUACAGCAAUGCCGCGUGAGUGAUGAAGGCCUUAGGGUUGUAAAGCUCUUUUAGCCGGGAUGAUAAUGACAGUACCGGGAGAAUAAGCACCGGCUAACUCCGUG
Molecule: ribosomal RNA, 433 nt
Filed under: uncultured bacterium
Lineage: Bacteria
Description: partial 16S ribosomal RNA
Rfam family: Bacterial small subunit ribosomal RNA
Source: RNAcentral